Unclassified non-coding RNA from Callithrix jacchus (white-tufted-ear marmoset), 117 nucleotides. It matches the Rfam family "Metazoan signal recognition particle RNA". From Rfam's summary of the family: The signal recognition particle (SRP) is a universally conserved ribonucleoprotein. Lineage: Eukaryota; Metazoa; Chordata; Mammalia; Primates; Cebidae. The record is from Ensembl.
GCUGGGCGCGGUGGCUCACGCCUGUAAUCCCAGCACUUUGGGAGGCUGAGGCCGGUGGAUCAUCUGAGGCCAGGAGUUCAAGACCAGCCUGGCCAACAUGGUGAAAACCCGUCUCUA